GGCCGCAAGGACUGAAACUUCAAUGGAAUUGGACGGGGGGCCGGACCAGCCGGGUGGGAGCCAUGGUGGGUUUAAUUCGAUGCAACGGCGAAGAACCUUACCUACUCUUGACAUCCCUAUAACUUACCUAAAAAGAUUAGGUGCCUUCCGGGAACUCUAGAGACAGGUGCUGCAUGGCUGUCGUCAGCUCGUGUUGUGAAAAGGUGGGUUAAGUCCCCGCAACGAGCGCAACCCUUAUCCUUUGUUGCCAGCGUUUAGGUCGGGCAACUCAAAGGAGACUGCCAGUGAUAAACUGGAGGAAGGGGGGGAUGACGUCAAGUCAUCAUGCCCCCUUACGACUAGGGCUACACACGUGCUACAAUGGACGCAUACAAAGAGAAGCGACCUCGCGAGAGCAAGCGGACCUCAUAAAGUGCGUCUCAAGUCCGGAUUGGAGUCUGCAACUCGACUCCAUGAAGUCGGAAUCGCUAGUAAUCGCGGAUCAGAAUGCCGCGGUGAAUACGUUCCCGGGCCUUGUACACACCGCCCGUCACACCAUGGGAGUGGGUUGCACCAGAAGUAGGUAACUUAACCUUCUAGGAGGGCGCUUACCACUUUGGGAUUCAUGACUGGGGGGAAGUCCUAACAAGGUAACCGGCCGGUGGGCUCCCACGGUUUUUCACCUGAAAGCCGUUUUUGUCCAGGGGGUCCCCUUCCCCCGGG
Molecule: ribosomal RNA, 702 nt
Filed under: Enterobacter sp.
Lineage: Bacteria; Pseudomonadati; Pseudomonadota; Gammaproteobacteria; Enterobacterales; Enterobacteriaceae
Description: bacterial SSU rRNA
Rfam family: Bacterial small subunit ribosomal RNA
Source: RNAcentral